This 331-nucleotide ribosomal RNA is filed under the name uncultured bacterium. Its description in RNAcentral is "bacterial SSU rRNA". It matches the Rfam family "Bacterial small subunit ribosomal RNA", at positions 568 to 898 of the family's 1533-position model. The record is from RNAcentral.
CGUGUAGGCGGUUGGUCAAGUCGGGUGUGAAAGCCUGGGGCUCAGCCCCAGAAGUGCAUCCGAAACUAGCCAGCUAGAGCGCGAUAGAGGAGGGUGGAAUUCCUGGUGUAGCGGUGAAAUGCGUAGAUAUCAGGAGGAACACCGGCGGCGAAGGCGGCCCUCUGGAUCGUUGCUGACGCUGAGACGCGAAAGCGUGGGGAGCAAACAGGAUUAGAUACCCUGGCAGUCCACGCCUUAAACGAUGGGUACUAGGUGUUCGGGGUGUUGACCCCCUGAGUGCCGCAGUUAACGCAUUAAGUACCCCGCCUGGGACUACGGCCGCAAGGUUAAA